Diceros bicornis minor is the source of this 105-nucleotide small nuclear RNA. The record is from RefSeq and is a predicted model, not a curated record. NCBI's taxonomy places the organism in Eukaryota, Metazoa, Chordata, Mammalia, Perissodactyla, Rhinocerotidae.
GUGCCCCCUUCAGCAGCACGUGUAACAAAUUUGGGUCUAUCACAGAAGAUUAGCAUGGUUCCUGCACAAUAAUGACUCAAAAUACGUGAAGCGGUUCAUAUUUUU